UGAAAGACGAGUAUAAAGGAUAGUAGCAUAGCAAACGGUAUAUAGCGAUUCGAGGAUGGUGGGAGCUCGAUUAACGUAGCUAUUGUGAAAUCACCUUUUAGUCUUACUUCUGAAAUAUACAUAGUAAGAGGUAACGUUUCAUUCACGUUAAGGAUGAAGAGUGGGCAUGCUUUUGAGACAUGCUCAUUAGGGUGGUACCACGGGUAGUCUUCUCGUCCCUAAC
Molecule: non-coding RNA, 223 nt
Filed under: Alkalihalobacillus pseudalcaliphilus
Lineage: Bacteria; Bacillati; Bacillota; Bacilli; Caryophanales; Bacillaceae
Description: Bacillus pseudalcaliphilus T-box sequence
Rfam family: T-box leader
About the family: Uncharged tRNA acts as the effector for transcription antitermination of genes in the T-box leader family. T-boxes are found upstream of many aminoacyl-tRNA synthetase genes and some amino acid biosynthetic genes usually in Gram-positive bacteria.
Source: RNAcentral